AUGAUCGUACUGCCGGUGUGGGGGAAGCCCUUGCGGCGCCGUGAACACAUCGGCGAACUCCUCCAACAGAUCAGCGAGCGGCGUCUGACUGGCGCACUUACGCCGCGGUGGUGGUGCGCGGCCGCAAGUGUCCACCAUGGCCAUCGCCCACACGUCGUUGCCCGCGAUCAUCUUGCGCAACUUGUCUGGUUUGAUCGCCUUGAGGGUGGUGGAUGCCUUCGUGGGCACGCCCCGGAGCGUGACCUCUUCGUCUUCGUGAGUGAACUUGACCCAUUUGUCCUGCCAGUGGAAGGUCAUGGGACUGUGCUGGGCGAGCCAGUACAUGCCAAGGAUGCCGUCGUAGGCGCCAAUGUCCAGUUCGCGCAUCGGAGUGGCGAACAUGUGCCCUUGCAUCCGCCACUUGAGCUCGGGGACGAUGCGGUUGCAGGAAAGACGGUCACCGUUGGCGACGCGCACGUCCACGCGCGACAUUUCUUCUGUCUUCAACCCGAGACGAUCAACAAAAGACUUGUUGACGAAGCUAUGCGAGCUGCCCGAAUCCAGGAGAAGCAGCAUGACCUGGUUGCCCACCAGUGCGCGCAGGCGGAUCGUGGUCGCCGAGUCCGUGCCGUCCAGAGCGUGCGACGAGAGGAGGCAGCACUCGGGAGCGUCCCCAGCAGGAGUGGGCGGCUGCGCGACCGGUCCAGGGUCGUCGAGAAGUUGCAGAGCGUGGAUGGUGUCGUCGGAGAGCACCUCGCCGUGAUCCCCGAUGCUGAUGGUGAGCAGCUGGGCGGGCUGAGCGCACCGGUGCUCCCGCGAGUAGCGGUCGCCGCACUUGAAACACAAAUUAUUGGCGCGGCGAUAGUCGCGCAGUUGCCGCUCGCGCGCGUAGUCGUCCGUGGGGGCGUGGUUGGGCGCGGCCGCCCGUGGUUGUUGUGGCGCGCCGCCGGUGGGGGUCGCCCCGCUGGUGUGAUGCGUGGGCGCGCGCGCGUCGUGCCCAGUUCCUCCUCUUGA
Molecule: ribosomal RNA, 993 nt
Filed under: Triticum aestivum (bread wheat)
Lineage: Eukaryota; Viridiplantae; Streptophyta; Magnoliopsida; Poales; Poaceae
Description: partial small subunit ribosomal RNA
Source: RNAcentral